Molecule: ribosomal RNA, 253 nt
Filed under: uncultured bacterium
Lineage: Bacteria
Description: partial 16S ribosomal RNA
Rfam family: Bacterial small subunit ribosomal RNA
Source: RNAcentral
UACGUAGGCAGCAAGCGUUGUUCGGAGUUACUGGGCGUAAAGGGUGUGUAGGCGGUUCUUUAAGUUUGCUGUGAAAUCUCCCGGCUUAACCGGGAGGGUGCGGUGAAUACUGAGGGACUAGAGUACGGGAGAGGAAAGUGGAAUUCCUGGUGUAGCGGUGAAAUGCGUAGAUAUCAGGAGGAACACCGGUGGUGUAGACGGCUUUCUGGACCGACACUGACGCUGAGGCACGAAAGCGUGGGUAGCAAACAGG